CCUACGGGGGGCUGCAGUGGGGAAUAUUGGACAAUGGGGGCAACCCUGAUCCAGCCAUGCCGCGUGUGUGAAGGAGGCCCUCGGGUUGUAAAGCACUUUCAGUGAGGAAGAACGCCUGGUGGUUAAUACCCAUCAGGAAAGACAUCACUCACAGAAGAAGCACCGGCUAACUCCGUGCCAGCAGCCGCGGUAAUACGGAGGGUGCGAGCGUUAAUCGGAAUUACUGGGCGUAAAGCGCGCGUAGGUGGCUUGAUAAGCCGGUUGUGAAAGCCCCGGGCUCAACCUGGGAACGGCAUCCGGAACUGUCAAGCUAGAGUGCAGGAGAGGAAGGUAGAAUUCCCGGUGUAGCGGUGAAAUGCGUAGAGAUCGGGAGGAAUACCAGUGGCGAAGGCGGCCUUCUGGACUGACACUGACACUGAGGUGCGAAAGCGUGGGUAGCAAACAGGAUUAGAUACCCCGGUAGUC
Molecule: ribosomal RNA, 465 nt
Filed under: Vreelandella stevensii
Lineage: Bacteria; Pseudomonadati; Pseudomonadota; Gammaproteobacteria; Oceanospirillales; Halomonadaceae
Description: partial 16S ribosomal RNA
Rfam family: Bacterial small subunit ribosomal RNA
Source: RNAcentral